AACGCUAGCUACAGGCUUAACACAUGCAAGUCGAGGGGCAGCAUAAAAGUAGCAAUACUUUGGUGGCGACCGGCGCACGGGUGAGUGACGCGUAUGCAACCUACCUAUCAGAGGGGGAUAACCCAGCGAAAGUCGGACUAAUACCGCAUAAAACAGGGGCACCGCAUGGUGAUAUUUGUUAAAGAUUAAUUGCUGAUAGAUGGGCAUGCGUUCCAUUAGGUAGUUGGUGAGGUAAUGGCUCACCAAGCCGACGAUGGAUAGGGGAACUGAGAGGUUGGUCCCCCACACUGGUACUGAGACACGGACCAGACUCCUACGGGAGGCAGCAGUGAGGAAUACUGGUCAAUGGGCGAGAGCCUGAACCAGCCAAGUCGCGUGAAGGAAGAAGGAUCUAUGGUUCGUAAACUUCUUUUGCAGGGGAAUAAAGUGGAGGACGUGUCCUCUUUUGUAUGUACCCUGAGAAUAAGGAUCGGCUAACUCCGUGCCAGCAGCCGCGGUAAUACGGAGGAUCCGAGCGUUAUCCGGAUUUAUUGGGUUUAAAGGGUGCGUAGGUGGUUUAAUAAGUCAGCGGUGAAAGUUUGCAGCUUAACUGUAAAAAUGCCGUUGAAACUGUUAGACUUGAGUGUAAAUGAGGUAGGCGGAAUGCGUGGUGUAGCGGUGAAAUGCUUAGAUAUCACGAAGAACUCCGAUUG
RNAcentral lists this ribosomal RNA (692 nucleotides) under uncultured Bacteroidales bacterium. RNAcentral's name for it is "bacterial SSU rRNA". It matches the Rfam family "Bacterial small subunit ribosomal RNA", at positions 32 to 715 of the family's 1533-position model. The record is from RNAcentral. Lineage: Bacteria; Pseudomonadati; Bacteroidota; Bacteroidia; Bacteroidales.